GCUCCGGUAGCUCAGUUGGAUAGAGCAAGCGCCUCCUAAGCGCUAGGUCGCAGGUUCGACUCCUGCUCGGGGCGCCA
This 77-nucleotide transfer RNA is filed under the name Alloalcanivorax venustensis. RNAcentral's name for it is "tRNA-Arg". It matches the Rfam family "tRNA". From Rfam's summary of the family: Transfer RNA (tRNA) molecules are approximately 80 nucleotides in length. Their secondary structure includes four short double-helical elements and three loops (D, anti-codon, and T loops). RNAcentral also lists the same sequence under 6 other names. The record is from RNAcentral. Lineage: Bacteria; Pseudomonadati; Pseudomonadota; Gammaproteobacteria; Oceanospirillales; Alcanivoracaceae.